AUUGAACGCUGGCGGCAGGCCUAACACAUGCAAGUCGAGCGGAUGAAGGGAGCUUGCUCCUGGAUUCAGCGGCGGACGGGUGAGUAAUGCCUAGGAAUCUGCCUGGUAGUGGGGGAUAACGUCCGGAAACGGGCGCUAAUACCGCAUACGUCCUGAGGGAGAAAGUGGGGGAUCUUCGGACCUCACGCUAUCAGAUGAGCCUAGGUCGGAUUAGCUAGUUGGUGGGGUAAAGGCCUACCAAGGCGACGAUCCGUAACUGGUCUGAGUGGAUGAUCAGUCACACUGGAGCUGGGACACGGUCCAGGCUCCUACGGGAGGCAGCAGUGGGGAAUAUUGGACAGUGGGCGAGAGCCUGAUCCAGCCAUGCCGCGUGUGUGGAGAAGGUCUUCGGAUUGUAAAGCACUUUAAGUUGGGAGGAAGGGCAGUAAGUUAAUACCUUGCUGUUGUGACGUUACCGACAGAAUAAGCACCGGCUAACUUCGUG
This 484-nucleotide ribosomal RNA is filed under the name uncultured bacterium. RNAcentral's name for it is "partial 16S ribosomal RNA". It matches the Rfam family "Bacterial small subunit ribosomal RNA", at positions 30 to 507 of the family's 1533-position model. The record is from RNAcentral.